UACAGAGGGUGCAAGCGUUAAUCGGAAUUACUGGGCGUAAAGCGUGCGUAGACGGUAGCGUAAGUCGGGUGUGAAAGCCCCGGGCUCAACCUGGGAAUUGCAUUCGAGACUGCUCUGCUAGGGUGCGGAAGAGGGAAAGCGGAAUUUCCGGUGUAGCGGUGAAAUGCGUAGAUAUCGGAAGGAACACCAGUGGCGAAAAGCGGCUUCCUGGUCCAGCACCGACGUCAGGCACGAAAGCGUGGGGAGCAAACAGG
RNAcentral lists this ribosomal RNA (254 nucleotides) under uncultured bacterium. RNAcentral's name for it is "partial 16S ribosomal RNA". It matches the Rfam family "Bacterial small subunit ribosomal RNA", at positions 524 to 776 of the family's 1533-position model. The record is from RNAcentral.